GAGUUUGAUCAUGGCUCAGAUUGAACGCUGGCGGCAGGCCUAACACAUGCAAGUCGAGCGGUAGAGAGAAGCUUGCUUCUCUUGAGAGCGGCGGACGGGUGAGUAAUGCCUAGGAAUCUGCCUGGUAGUGGGGGAUAACGCUCGGAAACGGACGCUAAUACCGCAUACGUCCUACGGGAGAAAGCAGGGGACCUUCGGGCCUUGCGCUAUCAGAUGAGCCUAGGUCGGAUUAGCUAGUUGGUGAGGUAAUGGCUCACCAAGGCGACGAUCCGUAACUGGUCUGAGAGGAUGAUCAGUCACACUGGAACUGAGACACGGUCCAGACUCCUACGGGAGGCAGCAGUGGGGAAUAUUGGACAAUGGGCGAAAGCCUGAUCCAGCCAUGCCGCGUGUGUGAAGAAGGUCUUCGGAUUGUAAAGCACUUUAAGUUGGAGGAAGGGCAGUAAAUUAAUACUUUGCUGUUUUGACGUUACCGACAGAAUAAGCACCGGCUAACUCUGUGCCAGCCC
Molecule: ribosomal RNA, 509 nt
Filed under: uncultured bacterium
Lineage: Bacteria
Description: bacterial SSU rRNA
Rfam family: Bacterial small subunit ribosomal RNA
Source: RNAcentral